Megalopta genalis is the source of this 3265-nucleotide non-coding RNA. Lineage: Eukaryota; Metazoa; Arthropoda; Insecta; Hymenoptera; Halictidae. The record is from RefSeq and is a predicted model, not a curated record.
UGUCUACCAUAAAAGGUGUUCUUUCGCCGUAACGAACGGAUAUAUGUCGCGCGAUCGGCCCAGUCCGACUCUUGAUGUUGGUUUCUGCGAUCCUGUUGCUCGAGGAAGGUUCAUUGAAUGGUGAAUCGCGACGAAGGUGGCGGUGCACAAUGAUCGAUUUGAAAUAUUAUCGUACGCGACAACGCCGUGAGGGCAGCCGAGCGCUUGCAGUGUCAUUCACUUUCGACUGUGUGACGUACCAAAACAAAGAAAAGCAGAGAAAAGACUGAUCCGUGGACGAAACAAUGGACCGAGGAAAAGAGAAGAAUAAGUGCGUGCUUUAUCUGUCUCUCUCGAAAGGGAGAAAGUCCUACGAAACGACGGUGUCCGUCCGAUGCGGCGAUGGAAAGCCACAGUUUGCCCUUGGAAACGCCUUAACCGGCUAGGAACAACAGAAACUGUAUCACGGUCAUAGACUUCGUCGUCGUCUACGCCGCUAUUAUGAGUCGGGCAAACCCGCGGAUCGAGCUUGAUCUAUGGAUUGUAACGCGGCACACUCGGGACGACAGGACACGUCGGGCACGCGUGCACGGCUCACGUUCCCGGGGGUUAAUCGUUCGGAAGAAAACAACGGGCAAAUGUACUCACUGGUACGAUACGCGCCUCUCGCGCGCGCCGUAUCUGUCAGGUUCAAAGGAAAAGUUCACGAAGCGUGUGCAUUCAUGGACGCGAGACGGCAGGGUUGGAGAGCGAGAGGGAGUGGACGAAAAAGCGCAAAACAAGGGAGGAGAGAAAGAGAGAAAAGUCGCGCAUCGGGUCGCGGCGAGUGCGUGGGCUCAUGAACGCCGGCGCUGCUGGUGAUUCACGCUGUCGGCAAACCGGCCGAACGUGGCCACGUUCACUCUCACUUUUCUGUGCAUUGUUUCAUUGUCGCGCGACCGAGUCUUCCGUGCCCACCGUAACGAAAAUGCUUGCAAGCUACGGGGUUUUUCUUGGUCUCUUCCGGUAUCACAGGAAAAACCCGAAGGAAAACAAGCCGGGGGUGGGGGUAACAAGUUAAACGACCUUUGGCAAACCACGCACACUGUACACCGGUGGGCGAGCGCGCGCGCGCCUCUCUUUCUCUCUCACAUACACAUGAAACACACGAGCAGCACAGAACACGCACACUAGCUCUGCCUCUCUCUCUCUUUCUCUCUCGCCAACAAAGUUCAGACAGGCGACGGCGGACCGAUAAAUACGACGCGCCCGACUCGGAUAUACUGCGGCCCCUAACGAACGACCACGCCUGACGCAGCCACCGGCUCUGGUGGGGGUAAAUCCACUACAACGGCGUUGGUGCUCCUACGGCAAACCAACGAGGCUGCCUCUCUUCACUGCGCAUGUGUUCCACGGAAUUCUAACGACCAAUCGCGGGCCGCCGUCGCGAGCAGCCUGCCGGAUCACGGAACAUAUUGUCCUUUCUACACACGGCCGGUCUCUCGGCGAAUCGUCGCUCUCCGAACCGCUUUCCCGCACUCGAAAACGGAGAUGCAUCUGCCGUGCAAAUAACGCCGAACGGUUUUCCUUUCUUUUGUCUUCGAUUCGCGAGACGUUUCGCAACCCAGCCGAUUGAUAUGCUCGCCUAAGCGCAUCCCUUUCCGAUCCCUGGUACACGCAAUUCUGUUUUUAUCUACGGUCUAGAAAAAUAAAUUCAAUUUUACUUUUUACAGGAUUUCGCUGGUUUCAUCACGGUUCAGAGUUAUUUGAUUGGAAUUUUAAGGGCCGUCAUUUUCUAGAUAUAUUUCGAGCAGUACAUACGCACGUUAAAUGCUCUUAGCAACAAACACUGGAACUUCGAUCCAAAAAGUUUGCUCUUAGCUCUUUGCGCAAUACAUAAUAAAUAAAAAAAUGUCACACUUUCGAGAGUAUAACGUGACAUUGAGUUUGCAAGCGUGUGAACUAUAACCAUUUUUUUCUAUUUUUCUAUGUAUCUACACAAUGCCUCUUUUUUUAAACGGUAUUUUACUACCGUACUCAUUUACGUACCUAUAUUUUUAACAGAAAUUUUGUUUAAUUUCCGUAUCCCUGCUUUUCUAAUAAAUUAAUGCAAUGUUGUAGCAAUUUAAAAAGCAUCGUUUAGAAUAUUUUACUCCGGGUUAUACAUGUUUUAUUUCGACUAUUAUUUCGACGCCGUUAAUAGUUCAUUGUUUACGUAAUAAAUAAAACGAAAAUAUUGUCCAGUGUUUGGAACAAACGUGCUCGGAACAUCGCUCUCAUUUACCGGCCGUUUCUGCGACUACAGUGUAAAAUAAAACUUCGCGGGACAACCAUCGUGUCUGGUGGCGCUGCAUACUAACUAGAGAUUUUUUUCUCGCUUGAUCGUUAACAAACCGAAACGGUACGCGCGAAGUGGAUGUUGCAAUUAAAAACACCUUGCACUUUUCAGUCAGACGAACUUUUCCCCUCAUUAUUUUCAGCUUGGCGAGCGAACAUGAAAAAAGUACGGCGAAUUAAAUCAUUCGGAAAUAACAAUAACGUUAAUAGCGUCAAACAGUUCUGCAUAUGUUGGUAGGCAAUAUCGAACUAUAAAAAUAGAAGGCGAAUUCCUCUUUGGAAAUUAAAUCAAAGGAAAAAUCGAUACGGGUAAUGAAAGUGAGUUUCAUUAAAAGAAGUAUGUAUAUUAAGAUUGUAUAAAUUAGUCUAAUUUUCUCGGUAGAACUGUUCCAAGAGGAUUCGAGGGUGCACCGUUUCGCGCGAACGAAUAGGAAAGGAACGCACGAUUCUGGAAUCGCAACAAUGGUCCAGCGUGGCAUUCUUCGAACGAAAUAGGAAAGAAAAAAACAGAAAACUGUUCGGAAAAGGGAAGCAUCAAGGCGGCAGAAAUAGCACGCGAGCAAAUGCAGGUGGCGUUCGCGAACACAACGAUACACUGUCGCGACGGAAUACCAAGCAAGAGAACGUCGCCGACGACCGUUGACACCGUAAAAAAAAUGAAGUCGCCGGAGGAGAUGCGAAUCGGCCUCGUUAAGGCAGUCCCCUCUACCAAGGACCCUCGAAAAGAACAAGCGUCCUUCCGCUCUGCAAGAUAUACCGAAACCUUCGCGAACAGUGAUUUUCAUUUCUCUCGUUUCUUUUCUCCCCGUUGUUCUCGCAGAAUCAAUGAAUACAACGUCCGGCAACGUUAACCCAGUUCCACCGUUUGUUUUAUCCUUCUCGAUGCCCUCAUAAGGUAAACGUCCUUAUUCGCGACUACGUUCCUAUCGACGUAUUGAACACUAUAAAUAAAUAAGCUUUACUUCAGUUA